Molecule: ribosomal RNA, 694 nt
Filed under: uncultured bacterium
Lineage: Bacteria
Description: bacterial SSU rRNA
Rfam family: Bacterial small subunit ribosomal RNA
Source: RNAcentral
UAACGCGUGGGCAACCUGCCUCAUACAGGGGGAUAACAGUUAGAAAUGACUGCUAAUACCGCAUAAGACCGCGGUGCCGCAUGGCACAGCGGUAAAAACUCCGGUGGUAUGAGAUGGGCCCGCGUCUGAUUAGCUAGUUGGCGGGGUAACGGCCCACCAAGGCGACGAUCAGUAGCCGACCUGAGAGGGCGACCGGCCACAUUGGGACUGAGACACGGCCCAAACUCCUACGGGAGGCAGCAGUGGGGAAUAUUGCACAAUGGGGGAAACCCUGAUGCAGCGACGCCGCGUGAGCGAUGAAGUAUUUCGGUAUGUAAAGCUCUAUCAGCAGGGAAGAAGAUGACGGUACCUGACUAAGAAGCCCCGGCUAACUACGUGCCAGCAGCCGCGGUAAUACGUAGGGGGCAAGCGUUAUCCGGAUUUACUGGGUGUAAAGGGAGCGUAGACGGCGAUGCAAGCCAGAUGUGAAAGCCCGGGGCUCAACCCCGGGACUGCAUUUGGAACUGUGUGGCUGGAGUGUCGGAGAGGCAGGCGGAAUUCCUAGUGUAGCGGUGAAAUGCGUAGAUAUUAGGAGGAACACCAGUGGCGAAGGCGGCCUGCUGGACGAUGACUGACGUUGAGGCUCGAAAGCGUGGGGAGCAAACAGGAUUAGAUACCCUGGUAGUCCACGCCGUAAACGAUGACUGCUAGGUGU